RNAcentral lists this ribosomal RNA (442 nucleotides) under uncultured bacterium. Its description in RNAcentral is "partial 16S ribosomal RNA". It matches the Rfam family "Bacterial small subunit ribosomal RNA", at positions 339 to 795 of the family's 1533-position model. The record is from RNAcentral.
CUACGGGGUGCUGCAGUGGGGAAUAUUGGGCAAUGGGCGCAAGCCUGACCCAGCAACGCCGCGUGAGGGAAGAAUGUCUUCGGAUUGUAAACCUCUGUCCUUGGGGACGAAAAAAAUGACGGUACCCAAGGAGGAAGCUCCGGCUAACUACGUGCCAGCAGCCGCGGUAAUACGUAGGGAGCAAGCGUUGUCCGGAAUUAUUGGGCGUAAAGGGUGCGUAGGCGGCGCUGUAAGUCAGAUGUGAAAUCCCCGGGCUUAACUCGGGAGUUGCAUUUGAAACUACAGUGCUUGAGUAAAGAAGGGGUAAGUGGAAUUCCUAGUGUAGCGGUGGAAUGCGUAGAUAUUAGGAGGAACACCAGUGGCGAAGGCGACUUACUGGUCUUUUACUGACGCUGAGGCACGAAAGCGUGGGGAGCAAACAGGAUUAGAUACCCUGGUAGUC